GCGCGGAUGGCGGAAUUGGUAGACGCGCCAGCCUUAGGAGCUGGUCUGCUUAUGCAGGUGGAGGUUCGAGUCCUCUUCCGCGCA
This 84-nucleotide transfer RNA is filed under the name Patescibacteria group bacterium. Its description in RNAcentral is "tRNA-Leu". It matches the Rfam family "tRNA". From Rfam's summary of the family: Transfer RNA (tRNA) molecules are approximately 80 nucleotides in length. Their secondary structure includes four short double-helical elements and three loops (D, anti-codon, and T loops). The record is from RNAcentral.